CUUUCCCUCUGCAGCUGACAGCUACCCAUACCCACCUCCACAGGCAACUAAGGUCUUGACAUCCUGCCUGUAUCUGAAUGCACCUUUGCUGGACUGGGAAUAGCUCUUUUGGUGACUGACCAAAUCUGGUUGGUACUGCCAGUGAGUACUGAAUAUAAUGAGGCUCGAUCACAUGGCCACUGAUCACAAUCAAGAGACAAUAAAGAAACACAAGAAUACCACCCCUCUGAAGCUACACACACACCCCCAAGGAAAGAUGAGAACAGGAGAUGAAAUGCAACAUAUUCCUCGUGUGUAAUGAGACCAAUAUUUGCAGGUGAGACUAGGAAAGCUUUUGGUAUUAAAGAAAGAGAACACCAAAGUUAAUGUGAAACAGAGACUCAUGGAGUGCUUACACCUUCACAGAAAAAUAGUUAAGAAGGACAUUUUGUAUCAGCAAUUUCAGAUCAAUGUCAGAACCGUGUCAUCAGCUCUUAUUCUUUAGAGCAAGUGGUACCUGCACAGCAUCAGAGUCCAUU
Molecule: long non-coding RNA, 518 nt
Organism: Siniperca chuatsi (mandarin fish)
Lineage: Eukaryota; Metazoa; Chordata; Actinopteri; Centrarchiformes; Sinipercidae
Exons: 3
Source: RefSeq, a predicted model, not a curated record